GCCCGAGUGGCGGAAUUGGUAUACGCGCAAGACUUAAAAUUUUGUGACCGCAAGGUCGUGUGGGUUCGAUUCCCACCUCGGGCACUA
This 87-nucleotide transfer RNA is filed under the name Candidatus Nomurabacteria bacterium RIFCSPHIGHO2_01_FULL_40_12. RNAcentral's name for it is "tRNA-Leu". It matches the Rfam family "tRNA". From Rfam's summary of the family: Transfer RNA (tRNA) molecules are approximately 80 nucleotides in length. Their secondary structure includes four short double-helical elements and three loops (D, anti-codon, and T loops). The record is from RNAcentral. Lineage: Bacteria; Candidatus Nomuraibacteriota.